ACCUUUUCUGAGGAGAAACAUGAAUAUGCAUAGAGUAUAACUGUAUAUUGUAAUCUGCUGUGUGCCUGUGUGCGCUGUCAGGAGGAGAUAUCCCUGCACACCUGGUGUGCUGAAUAAAGUAAAUCCCCUUCCUUGGACUUUGUCUGGGAAGUGUCUCUUGGCCUGGUUUGGGGCCAUUCACAUCCAUGGGGUUCUGUCAAGUCACAGUGGAGCCUUGGUGCCCUGUUGUUGCACAGCCUCACAAUGCUCUCCUGCUGCCAUGAGGUCCCUCCCUCGGUGACACACUGCAGCCCUGGUUCCAUGAGGGGCUCUUGGGUUCCAUGGUGCACGCCUUUUUCACAUCUGAGCCUUGCUUCCAUGGGUUCCAUGGACUGACAGGGGCCCUCUGCAUUCCAUGGGGCCCAGCUAGAUCACAGCAGAGCCUGGCUUUCAUCAGGUUCUGAUACCUGUUCAGCCAGCUGACUGGGGUGAUUUAAAGAACACAGAAACCAAUGGGAAGAAUGGUCUUAUUUUACUGUGAAUCAAAAUACAUCGAGGAAGAGGAGAGGCCUUCAUCAGGGAUGACCUCCAAUGAGUGGUGCGACCACCUAAAAAAUGGUGGCGCAUGCGUGGUAAAGGUGAUGAUGGGGGUGGAGAUACAAGUGUGACAAACCGAAAAUAGGAGGAGAUGCAGCCUCAGCCAGAUCGAUUAAAAUACUGCUCCAAACAACAACAGAAUGAAAAUGUUCCACCAAAUGGGGAAAAAGAAGACAAGUGGGCCGCAGCCUUUUCUGAAGAGCUUGUGUUGAUUUUGCAAAGUUAGAUGCAAACAAGGUUUGCCAUAUUUCUUUGUCAGAAAAAUGCAGCUAAUGAAUAGAAAUCUAUCCCUGAGGCUGCUAAGUUGGGUAUGAUUUUAGACCUGGGAGGAGCAAAACAGGUUCUAGAGAAGCUGUGGCUGUGUCACCCUUGGAAGUGUUCAAGGCCAGGUUGGAUGGGGCUUGGAGCAACCUGAUUGAGGGGAAGGUGUCCUGAGU
Molecule: long non-coding RNA, 1013 nt
Organism: Passer domesticus (house sparrow)
Lineage: Eukaryota; Metazoa; Chordata; Aves; Passeriformes; Passeridae
Exons: 3
Source: RefSeq, a predicted model, not a curated record